GAAGCUUCAGAGACCCCCGAGACGUCCGUGCGUACCAGCCAGGAGAGAAGAAUCCAUCGUCACCCCGUCCUGGUCCCCCGGCAGUCCCCGCCGUUCCUUGGCUUGUAGCUCCAUCACUGGUUUUACCUUCAUCUUCGCGCGGCCUUCUCUCCUGCGUCCUCUGCCUCAGCGUUUCCCUCAGAAAGACGGCAGUCGGUAGACACGGGGCCCACCCUCACGCGGUGUGACUUCUUCUUGGCUUGAUAACAUUUGCACCGUGUGCACGGAAGGGUCCAUUUCCUAGGUUCUGGGUGGGCAUGAGUUGGGGGAGACACUGUUCAACCCAGCACAGUCCAUCUUCUGCCUCCCCCUUCCCCAGUUUCUGUCUUUCCCACAUACAAAAUAAAGUCAUCCUAUCCCA
Long non-coding RNA from Neogale vison (American mink), 400 nucleotides. RefSeq lists it as uncharacterized. NCBI's taxonomy places the organism in Eukaryota, Metazoa, Chordata, Mammalia, Carnivora, Mustelidae. The transcript is spliced from 2 exons. The record is from RefSeq and is a predicted model, not a curated record.